UCUGACGGAGCACGCCGCGUGAACGAUGAAGGCCUUCGGGUCGUAAAGUUCUGUUGUUAGGGAAGAACAAGUGCUAGUUGAAUAAGCUGGCACCUUGACGGUACCUAACCAGAAAGCCACGGCUAACUACGUGCCAGCAGCCGCGGUAAUACGUAGGUGGCAAGCGUUGUCCGGAAUUAUUGGGCGUAAAGCGCGCGCAGGCGGUUUCUUAAGUCUGAUGUGAAAGCCCCGGCUCAACCGGGGAGGGUCAUUGGAAACUGGGAAACUUGAGUGCAGAAGAGGAAAGUGGAAUUCCAAGUGUAGCGGUGAAAUGCGUAGAGAUUUGGAGGAACACCAGUGGCGAAGGCGACUUUCUGGUCUGUAACUGACGCUGAGGCGCGAAAGCGUGGGGAGCAAACAGGAUUAGAUACCCUGGUAGUCCACGCUGUAAACGAUGAGUGCUAAGUGUUAGAGGGUUUCCGCCCUUUAGUGCUGAAGUUAACGCAUUAAGCACUCCGCCUGGGGAGUACGGUCGCAAGACUGAAACUCAAAGGAAUUGACGGGGGCCCGCACAAGUGGUGGAGCAUGUGGUUUAAUUCGAAGCAACGCGAAGAACCUUACCAGGUCUUGACAUCCUCUGACAACCCUAGAGAUAGGGCUUUCCCUUCGGGGACAGAGUGACAGGUGGUGCAUGGUUGUCGUCAGCUCGUGUCGUGAGAUGUUGGGUUAAGUCCCGCAACGAGCGCAACCCUUGAUCUUAGUUGCCAGCAUUCAGUUGGGCACUCUAAGGUGACUGCCGGUGACAAACCGGAGGAAGGUGGGGAUGACGUCAAAUCAUCAUGCCCCUUAUGACCUGGGCUACACACGUGCUACAAUGGAUAGUACAAAGGGUUGCAAGACCGCGAGGUGGAGCUAAUCCCAUAAAACUAUUCUCAGUUCGGAUUGUAGGCUGCAACUC
RNAcentral lists this ribosomal RNA (937 nucleotides) under Bacillus sp. (in: firmicutes). RNAcentral describes it as "bacterial SSU rRNA". It matches the Rfam family "Bacterial small subunit ribosomal RNA", at positions 382 to 1313 of the family's 1533-position model. The record is from RNAcentral. Lineage: Bacteria; Bacillati; Bacillota; Bacilli; Caryophanales; Bacillaceae.